RNAcentral lists this ribosomal RNA (492 nucleotides) under uncultured bacterium. RNAcentral describes it as "partial 16S ribosomal RNA". It matches the Rfam family "Bacterial small subunit ribosomal RNA", at positions 29 to 507 of the family's 1533-position model. The record is from RNAcentral.
AGUGAACGCUGGCGGUAGGCCUAACACAUGCAAGUCGAACGGCAGCACAGUAAGAGCUUGCUCUUACGGGUGGCGAGUGGCGGACGGGUGAGGAAUACAUCGGAAUCUACUUUUUUGUGGGGGAUAACGUAGGGAAACUUACGCUAAUACCGCAUACGACCUACGGGUGAAAGCAGGGGAUCUUCGGACCUUGCGCGAUUGAAUGAGCCGAUGUCGGAUUAGCUAGUUGGAGGGGUAAAGGCCCACCAAGGCGACGAUCCGUAGCUGGUCUGAGAGGAUGACCAGCCACACUGGAACUGAGACACGGCCCAGACUCCUACGGGAGGCAGCAGUGGGGAAUAUUGGACAAUGGGGGCAAGCCUGAUCCAGCCAUACCGCGUGGGUGAAGAAGGCCUUCGGGUUGUAAAGCCCUUUUGUUGGGAAAGAAAAGCAGCAGGUUAAUACCCCGCUGUUCUGACGGUACCCAAAGAAUAAGCACCGGCUAACUUCGUG